Molecule: long non-coding RNA, 343 nt
Organism: Zalophus californianus (California sea lion)
Lineage: Eukaryota; Metazoa; Chordata; Mammalia; Carnivora; Otariidae
Exons: 3
Source: RefSeq, a predicted model, not a curated record
CUCCUCCCCACUCCCAGGACCUGUCAAGCUGGCUCCACCCCUUGGCACCCCAAGCAGUCCUUCCCCAUCAGAUGAGCGUAUUGGUAGGUGAAUUCUCGGAGCUGGGUGGCCAACUUGGAGGGCGUGCGUGUUUGAAAUUCCGAAGCAUUACCACUACAACAGAUGAUCCCCGCCAUCUCACCAUCGACAUGCGUGUGUUCACACUUGUGGAUCUUGACCAACCCAACAGAAGAGAACUGGGCUCUCAUCUCAGUGUUCUUUAACACACGGCUCUCCUAUGACGAAGAGAGACACAGCGAGAGAGAGAACACAAGCAGGGGGAGCGGGAGAGGGAGAAGCAGGC